RNAcentral lists this ribosomal RNA (1729 nucleotides) under Vibrio alginolyticus. RNAcentral describes it as "partial 23S ribosomal RNA". It matches the Rfam family "Bacterial large subunit ribosomal RNA", at positions 1219 to 2925 of the family's 2925-position model. The record is from RNAcentral. Lineage: Bacteria; Pseudomonadati; Pseudomonadota; Gammaproteobacteria; Vibrionales; Vibrionaceae.
GUGCAUUGGGUAGGGGAGCGUUCUGUAAGCGGUUGAAGGUGUGUGGUAACGCAUGCUGGACGUAUCAGAAGUGCGAAUGCUGACAUGAGUAACGAUAAAGGGGGUGAAAAACCUCCUCGCCGGAAGACCAAGGGUUCCUGUCCAACGUUAAUCGGGGCAGGGUAAGUCGACCCCUAAGGCGAGGCCGAAAGGCGUAGUCGAUGGGAAACGGGUUAAUAUUCCCGUACUUCUUACAAUUGCGAUGGGGGGACGGAGAAGGCUAGGUGGGCCUGGCGACGGUUGUCCAGGUUCAAGUGUGUAGGCUGAGAAAUUAGGUAAAUCCGGUUUCUCUUAAGGCUGAGACACGACGUCGAGCUACUACGGUAGUGAAGUCAUUGAUGCCAUGCUUCCAGGAAAAGCCUCUAAGCUUCAGAUUGUAAGGAAUCGUACCCCAAACCGACACAGGUGGUCGGGUAGAGAAUACCAAGGCGCUUGAGAGAACUCGGGUGAAGGAACUAGGCAAAAUGGUACCGUAACUUCGGGAGAAGGUACGCUCUCGACGGUGAAGUCCCUCGCGGAUGGAGCUAUUGAGAGUCGCAGAUACCAGGUGGCUGCAACUGUUUAUUAAAAACACAGCACUGUGCAAAAUCGCAAGAUGACGUAUACGGUGUGACGCCUGCCCGGUGCCGGAAGGUUAAUUGAUGGGGUUAGACUUCGGUCGAAGCUCUUGAUCGAAGCCCCGGUAAACGGCGGCCGUAACUAUAACGGUCCUAAGGUAGCGAAAUUCCUUGUCGGGUAAGUUCCGACCUGCACGAAUGGCGUAAUGAUGGCCACGCUGUCUCCACCCGAGACUCAGUGAAAUUGAAAUCGCUGUGAAGAUGCAGUGUACCCGCGGCUAGACGGAAAGACCCCGUGAACCUUUACUACAGCUUGGCACUGAACAUUGACCCUACAUGUGUAGGAUAGGUGGGAGGCUUUGAAGCGCAGUCGCUAGAUUGCGUGGAGCCGUCCUUGAAAUACCACCCUUGUAGUGUUGAUGUUCUAACGUUGACCCCUUAUCGGGGUUGCGGACAGUGCCUGGUGGGUAGUUUGACUGGGGCGGUCUCCUCCCAAAGCGUAACGGAGGAGCACGAAGGUGGGCUAAUCACGGUUGGACAUCGUGAGGUUAGUGCAAUGGCAUAAGCCCGCUUGACUGCGAGAAUGACAAUUCGAGCAGGUGCGAAAGCAGGUCAUAGUGAUCCGGUGGUUCUGAAUGGAAGGGCCAUCGCUCAACGGAUAAAAGGUACUCCGGGGAUAACAGGCUGAUACCGCCCAAGAGUUCAUAUCGACGGCGGUGUUUGGCACCUCGAUGUCGGCUCAUCACAUCCUGGGGCUGAAGUCGGUCCCAAGGGUAUGGCUGUUCGCCAUUUAAAGUGGUACGCGAGCUGGGUUUAGAACGUCGUGAGACAGUUCGGUCCCUAUCUGCCGUGGGCGUUGGAGAAUUGAAAGGGGCUGCUCCUAGUACGAGAGGACCGGAGUGGACGAACCUCUGGUGUUCGGGUUGUGUCGCCAGACGCAUUGCCCGGUAGCUAAGUUCGGGAUCGAUAACCGCUGAAAGCAUCUAAGCGGGAAGCGAGCCUUGAGAUGAGUUCUCCCUGAUACUUUAAGUAUCCUAAAGGGUUGUCGUAGACUACGACGUUGAUAGGCAGGGUGUGUAAGCGUUGUGAGGCGUUGAGCUAACCUGUACUAAUUGCCCGUGAGGCUUAACCAU